GAUGAACGCUGACAGAAUGCUUAACACAUGCAAGUCUACUUGAACUUCGGUUUGGGUGGCGGACGGGUGAGUAACGCGUAAAGAACUUGCCUCACAGAUAGGGACAACAUUUGGAAACGAAUGCUAAUACCUGAUAUUAUGAUUUUAGGGCAUCCUAGAAUUAUGAAAGCUAUAUGCACUGUGAGAGAGCUUUGCGUCCCAUUAGCUAGUUGGAGAGGUAACGGCUCACCAAGGCGACGAUGGGUAGCCGGCCUGAGAGGGUGAUCGGCCACAAGGGGAGUGAGACACGGCCCGUACUCCUACGGGAGGCAGCAGUGGGGAAUAUUGGACGAUGGACCAAGAGUCUGUUCCAGCAAUUCUGUGUGCACGAUGAAGUUUUUCGGAAUGUAAAGUGCUUUCAGUUGGGAAGAAAAAAAUGACGGUACCAACAGAAGAAGUGACGGCUAAAUACGUG
This 454-nucleotide ribosomal RNA is filed under the name uncultured bacterium. RNAcentral describes it as "partial 16S ribosomal RNA". It matches the Rfam family "Bacterial small subunit ribosomal RNA", at positions 28 to 507 of the family's 1533-position model. The record is from RNAcentral.